Molecule: ribosomal RNA, 245 nt
Filed under: uncultured bacterium
Lineage: Bacteria
Description: partial 16S ribosomal RNA
Rfam family: Bacterial small subunit ribosomal RNA
Source: RNAcentral
UACGAAGGGGGCUAGCGUUGCUCGGAAUUACUGGGCGUAAAGGGCGCGUAGGCGGACAGUUAAGUCGGGGGUGAAAGCCCAGGGCUCAACCCUGGAACUGCCUUCGAUACUGGCUGUCUUGAGUUCGGGAGAGGUGAGUGGAACGCCGAGUGUAGAGGUGAAAUUCGUAGAUAUUCGGCAGAACACCAGUGGCGAAGGCGACUCACUGGCCCGAUACUGACGCUGAUGCGCGAAAGCGUGGGGAG